Molecule: ribosomal RNA, 344 nt
Filed under: uncultured bacterium
Lineage: Bacteria
Description: bacterial SSU rRNA
Rfam family: Bacterial small subunit ribosomal RNA
Source: RNAcentral
GUACGCUAUUCAGAGUUUGAUCCUGGCUCAGAUUGAACGCUGGCGGCAUGCUUUACACAUGCAAGUCGAACGGCAACGAGGAGAAGCUCGCUUCUCUGUCGGCGAGUGGCGAACGGGUGAGUAUAGCAUCGGAACGUGCCAAGUAGUGGGGGAUAACCAAACGAAAGUUUGGCUAAUACCGCGUAAGCUCCAAGGAGGAAAGUAGGGGACCUAAAUAAGGCCUUACGCUAUUUGAUCGGCCGAUGUCGGAUUAGCUAGUUGGUGGGGUAAUGGCUCACCAAGGCAAUGAUCCGUAGCGGGUCUGAGAGGACGAUCCGCCACACUGGGACUGAGACACGGCCCAG